UGCCAGCAGCCGCGGUAAUACGGAAGGUGCGAGCGUUAAUCGGAAUUACCGGGCGUAAAGCGCAGGCAGGCGGACAUGCAAGUUGGAUGUGAAAGCUCUCGGCUCAACCGAGAGAGGCCAUUCAAAACUGUGUGACUGGAGGACAGCAGAGGAACACGGAAUUCCGGGUGGAGUGGUGAAAUGCGUAGAUAUCCGGAGGAACACCAGAGGCGAAGGCGGUGUUCUGGGCUGUACCUGACGCUGAACUGCGAAAGCGUGGGGAGCGAACGGGAUUAGAUA
RNAcentral lists this ribosomal RNA (279 nucleotides) under uncultured bacterium. Its description in RNAcentral is "partial 16S ribosomal RNA". It matches the Rfam family "Bacterial small subunit ribosomal RNA", at positions 506 to 784 of the family's 1533-position model. The record is from RNAcentral.